This 1353-nucleotide ribosomal RNA is filed under the name Triticum aestivum (bread wheat). Its description in RNAcentral is "partial small subunit ribosomal RNA". Lineage: Eukaryota; Viridiplantae; Streptophyta; Magnoliopsida; Poales; Poaceae. The record is from RNAcentral.
AUGGGAUCGUUGAGCGAGCGAGCUAGGAAGAGAGUGUUCUUCGUGCACACCCCAGAGUUCGAACCUCACAAGGGUUUGCCGGAACCCGUAAUCCGACAUUUGGCACGCCAGGUAGGGGUGCGUCGAAGCUUUGCCUGUCUGCCCGCUUCGCUUCUCCAUCCAGCUCCCAUGGCGAGCGUCGCUCCUCCUUCCGAAGCAACAGGCCCGCGCGGGGGCGCUGUGGGGCUCCGAGCCUUCACCCCCGCCUUGCGGCAGGUACGGUGGCCGCACAAGUUCAAGCCGAAGAUGCCACCUCGCUACUUCGGCGCGGCGGAUCUAGCGACCUUCCUCCAGGCGUACGAGGAGGCCAUUCGGGAGGCCGGAGGCGACGACCAGGUCAUGGCCAACUGGCUCCCCAUGGCCCUCGCUGGCGUGCCGCGCGCCUGGUUGCUCAACCUGCCGGAGUCCUCUGUGGCCUCCUGGGAGGAGCUGCGCGACCUUUUUAUCGCGCGCUUCGCGGCACCGGCGCCCCCCGCCGUCGCGGCCCUCCUGGGUGGUUCACAGGCGCCGCCCUCGGAUCGCCACGUCAAGCAGUUCGUCCGCCAGAUGGGCGCCGCACGUGUACAACAGGGGACUCCUCCGGGAUGGGCGGUACCCAAGGCCGACCUCACCUUCGACUCGGGGGACUAUCUAGCGACCACCGCAGGCACGGGUGCGCUCCCGAUGCUCUGCACACCCACCCUCAUCAACGGAGGAGCCGGCCUCAACAUGCUCUCCGUGGAAGCCUUCAGCUUGCUCCACGUGCCGCUCGGCCGGCUCCAUCACGCCAAGCCCUUCUCCGGAGUUGGUGGUGGUUCCACCAACCCCCUAGGGCAGAUCCGCCUCCCCGUCACCUUCGGCACCCGCGACAACUACCGCACCGAGCUUAUCGACUUCGACAUCGCCCGCAUCGGCCUCCCGUACAACGCCAUCCUCGGGUACCCUACCCUGGCUCAGUUCAUGGCGGCAACCCAUCCCGCCUACAACCUCAUGAAGAUGUCGGCGAGCAGCGGUGUCCCUACCGUGGCCGGAGACGCCAAGGAGGCCUUGACGGCCCUCAGGCUCGCCUUCAGGGUCGCAGCGGCAGCUCGCCCCACUGGCGAAGCCGCGGCUAGGGCCCAGGGGGCUGCGCCGGCGAAGAAGCAGUUAUUCUCGCAAGAUUGGGCCAAGACGAAGCAAGUAACGGUCGAGGAUGAUGGGGCCUCGGGAGCCACCUUCACCAUAGGCGCCAACCUCGACCCGGAACAAGAAGAGGCACUGGUGAAAUUCCUGCGCGCGAACAAGGAGGUAUUCGCCUGGGAGCCCAAGCAGCUGGUGCGGGUCCCAAGGGAGUAA